GUAGUGGUAACUCAGUGGUAGAACCCUCGCCUUUCAUGCAGGGAACCCAGGUUUAAUUCCUGGCCAAUGCA
Molecule: transfer RNA, 71 nt
Filed under: Loxodonta africana (African savanna elephant)
Lineage: Eukaryota; Metazoa; Chordata; Mammalia; Proboscidea; Elephantidae
Rfam family: tRNA
About the family: Transfer RNA (tRNA) molecules are approximately 80 nucleotides in length. Their secondary structure includes four short double-helical elements and three loops (D, anti-codon, and T loops).
Source: Rfam by way of RNAcentral